GACGAACGCUGGCGGCGUGCUUAACACAUGCAAGUCGAACGGAAAGGCCCUGCUUUUGUGGGGUGCUCGAGUGGCGAACGGGUGAGUAACACGUGAGUAACCUGCCCUUGACUUUGGGAUAACUUCAGGAAACUGGGGCUAAUACCGGAUAGGAGCUCCUGCUGCAUGGUGGGGGUUGGAAAGUUUCGGCGGUUGGGGAUGGACUCGCGGCUUAUCAGCUUGUUGGUGGGGUAGUGGCUUACCAAGGCUUUGACGGGUAGCCGGCCUGAGAGGGUGACCGGCCAAAUGGGGACUGAGAUACGGCCCAGACUCCUACGGGAGGCAGCAGUGGGGAAUAUUGCACAAGGGGCGGAAGCCUGAUGCAGAAACGCGGCGUGCGGGAUGACGGCCUUCGGGUGGUAAACCGCUUUCGCCUGUGACGAAGCGUGAGUGACGGUAAUGGGUAAAGAAGCACCGGCUAACUACGU
This 467-nucleotide ribosomal RNA is filed under the name uncultured bacterium. RNAcentral's name for it is "partial 16S ribosomal RNA". It matches the Rfam family "Bacterial small subunit ribosomal RNA", at positions 28 to 506 of the family's 1533-position model. The record is from RNAcentral.